CAGGCCCCGCAGCCACAGGCUGAUAGCACAGCAGGUGCCGGCCCCACACUGGAUGUCUCGUUCACAGGCCUACCGGAGAGAAAGGGCCAACCCGUUAGUGUCACCCAAAGGAAGAAUCCGAUCCGGAUCAGGAUCCGAAGGGGGCGACUACGCGCCUCAGAUCAACAGGACACCUUGGCCUGUGUCUAAUGCCACUGCUUGUCUCUUGGGAGGGACACUCGGACUCAGCAGAGUACCAGACUUCAGUCUGGGGAACCCUUCCUGCUCAGUGCACCGGCAUUAUUCAGAUGAGCUCAGAGGCGGAAGAUGAGACCUGAAUCUCCAACAGCAUCCCAUCACCGUCAGAACGGAUACAAAUGGAUGCAUCGGGGACCUUGACAGUUGCUCUAACUCUUCCAAGAGCACCACACUUCAAACAGUUGUGUAUGAGAAAUCUAGCAACCUGGACUGCCUCCUGCUUGUCACCACCUAGCAACCUGGACUGCCUCCUAGCAACCUGGACUGCCUCCUAGCAACCUGGACUGCCUCCUGCUUGUCACCACCUAGCAACCUGGACUGCUUCCUGGCAACCUGGACUGCCUCCUAGCAACCUAGACUGCCUCCUGCUUGUCCCCACCCAGCCCACACCUCAGGAGCAGACCAUGCAACUCUUCCUGAGCCAGUGGGUGCUGUGUGGUUUCUGUCCUGUUCCUGGCACUUCUUCCUUGUAUCUUUGCUCAAUGGAUUUCUAGACAGAACAGGCUCUGCUUCCCCUUCCCAUUCUCUCCUGGACCUAUGCCAGCCUUCUUGCUCCCAUCACCCAGACAGCUGCCUGCGUCACCCUUCACCUUGUUAAUGCCUAAAGUACCAUCUUCACCAUCUCCUCCCUUGCUCUGCCUCUUGUGCCCUCGACAUGAGUGCCUCCUCUCUCCUCUCACACUAGCAUUUCCUCUAGGUUCCCUGGUUCUCUCUGAACUCUCCUAUGCUUCCUUCCACCCAUUAAAUGACUUUCCUGAGGUUGCAAAUUCAUCCCAAAGCACCACAGCCCCCAUCGUGCUAAUGAUCUCAAGUCUGUGUUCCUAGGCACUUGGCCAGCAGCCUCUUGGACAUCGCCCCGUGUUGGUACCUCUCUGACACCUCUAAUAAACCCCUGUCCCCUGGCACCUCUUUCCAUCUGCCCUCCUAAGCGCAUUCUCAGGGCUCAUAAUUGUGAAUAACAGAACACAGCCUGGCUUGUUUAAAUGGAGAGGAAGUUUAAUGAGGCCCUUAAGAAACUCAUUGAAUUGCUGGGUGUCUUGAGAAACAGGAUGGAGCUCCGUGUCCAAGAACAAAGCCCAGAAUCAGAGCACAGAGCUUCCCAAUGAGGAUCACGCCUUCUGAAGUCAGAUCUCUGUGGACAGCCAGGCCAAGGGCUUUUCCCUAAGUGUUGCUCCAUUCUUGUGGAAAGCUCUUAAGUAUACAAUGUAACUGUGUAACUACAACAAUGUAACUAGUUCUCAGCCCUGCCUCUGCAAGGCCAGACUCCCAGAUGCAGACAGAAAGUUCUCAGGCAAAUGCCAGCCCUGUUUGCCAGGUGCCACGUCUCAUCUGCUUGAUUAGCGUCCCACAGACGCUGGCAGGUGGAUUUCCUAGACUCCUGAAUUUCCCUGCAGCCCUUAGUCACUGAGCUCAUCACGUGACCGCCACGGCCUCUUCAUUUUCCAUCUUCACUGCUGCCAAGGGGUGGUCCCCAAUUGGACCACCCCUCAGUCUAGAUCCUCUGCCAUCCAUCCUCCUAGAAGCCUGGAGAUCUGUCCUCACCUCCCUGAAGGCAGAUGUCUCAUGGACUCCCCACUGACCUCGAUAUCAACCCCAGGUCCUGAGCACAUGCCCCCAAAUCAAGCCUCUGGUUUUGAGCUACAUGGCCAGAAUAUCCUUUCGGCUUUAUCUCUUUCUACCAUAACAUUCACCUUUCAACAAGAUGAAACUUCUUCAGCUCCUCGCUGGACCGUCCUAACAUCCCUGAUCUUUCCAUAUCCUGUUCCCCAACUCCAAUGCUGACCAGGAUUCAAGCACCAAGUUUCUGUCUUGGUCCAGCCCCUUACUGGUGGUGUGAAUGUAAACAAGUCAUCUUUUCUCUCUAUAAACAGCCCUAGCUCCCCCAAAGUGUUGGACACUGCAGUGACUGAAUGGGUAGUUUUCAAAAAAGGUAGGUCCUUAUGUCAUUUCAAACUGUGAAUAUUUUUUUAACUAAUUCCUUUUUAAAAGGCAAAGUCUUUAGCCCUGGCUGUCCUGGAACUCACUAUGUUGACCACACUGCCUUCAGACUCACAGAGAUCUGCCUGCCUCUGUUUCCCAAGGCCUGGGAUUAAAGGCAUGAGCCACCAAGCCCAGUUUAAUUUAAAUUGUAUGUGUGUAGGUAUUGUGCCUGCAUGCAUAUCUGUGUGUCACAUGUAUAGAGUACCCAUGGAGACCAAAAGAAUGUGUUAGAUUUCAUAGA
Long non-coding RNA from Apodemus sylvaticus (European woodmouse), 2458 nucleotides. RefSeq lists it as uncharacterized. NCBI's taxonomy places the organism in Eukaryota, Metazoa, Chordata, Mammalia, Rodentia, Muridae. The record is from RefSeq and is a predicted model, not a curated record. The transcript has 3 exons.